AAUGGGAACACUUUUGAUAUCGAAGAUAAGGGAAGAAUACCCAGAUAGGAUGAUGUUGACCUUCUCUGUUUUCCCAUCUCCUAAGGUCUCUGAUACCGUCGUGGAGCCUUACAAUGCUACUUUGUCAGUUCAUCAGUUGGUUGAAAACGCUGAUGAGUGCAUGGUUCUCGAUAAUGAGGCCUUGUAUGAUAUUUGUUUCAGGACACUUAAGCUCACCACUCCCAGCUGUAAGUCUUCCCCAGAUUUAGUCCUUUUUCAUUUAAUAUCUUUUAUUAGACUCUGUUUGUAUAGUUUUAACGUGGUAGCAAAGGUUCAGAACCAUGCAUUUUAUUUGCAAUUUUACUACCGUUCAAUCGUUGCUGAUCUGGGUUGUGAAUGACAAUAAUUUCCUGAAAGGUUAAAUUCGAGUUAGUAAGAACUGGGAUCUGUUUAUUUAGCUUGGGGAUCUUCAGAGUUCUUACAUUGUUUCAUUUGAUCUGUGAAUUGUUUUCUUGUUUCAUUUUUUAGUGCUUUUCCUACCUAGUGGAUGUAGGAUUUUGCCUUAUGAUCUGGCCUAGGAAUAAAAAUAGUUUCCUGAAAGGCAAAAAUUGAGUUGGUAAUAACUAGGAUCUGUUUAUUUUAGCUUGGGGAUCUUUGAAUUCUUACAGUUUGCUGUUUUCUUUUUGUUCUUUGACAGUUGGUGAUCUGAAUCACCUGAUAUCUGCAACAAUGUCUGGGGUUACAUGCUGCUUACGAUUCCCUGGUCAGCUCAACUCUGAUCUAAGGAAACUUGCUGUGAAUCUCAUCCCAUUUCCUCGGCUUCAUUUCUU
This 809-nucleotide long non-coding RNA is filed under the name Gossypium raimondii (Peruvian cotton). Its description in RNAcentral is "long non-coding RNA (GRAI_LNC002311)". The record is from RNAcentral. Lineage: Eukaryota; Viridiplantae; Streptophyta; Magnoliopsida; Malvales; Malvaceae.